RNAcentral lists this ribosomal RNA (2050 nucleotides) under Escherichia coli. RNAcentral describes it as "partial 23S ribosomal RNA". It matches the Rfam family "Bacterial large subunit ribosomal RNA", at positions 797 to 2825 of the family's 2925-position model. The record is from RNAcentral. Lineage: Bacteria; Pseudomonadati; Pseudomonadota; Gammaproteobacteria; Enterobacterales; Enterobacteriaceae.
UUAGCGGAUGACUUGUGGCUGGGGGUGAAAGGCCAAUCAAACCGGGAGAUAGCUGGUUCUCCCCGAAAGCUAUUUAGGUAGCGCCUCGUGAAUUCAUCUCCGGGGGUAGAGCACUGUUUCGGCAAGGGGGUCAUCCCGACUUACCAACCCGAUGCAAACUGCGAAUACCGGAGAAUGUUAUCACGGGAGACACACGGCGGGUGCUAACGUCCGUCGUGAAGAGGGAAACAACCCAGACCGCCAGCUAAGGUCCCAAAGUCAUGGUUAAGUGGGAAACGAUGUGGGAAGGCCCAGACAGCCAGGAUGUUGGCUUAGAAGCAGCCAUCAUUUAAAGAAAGCGUAAUAGCUCACUGGUCGAGUCGGCCUGCGCGGAAGAUGUAACGGGGCUAAACCAUGCACCGAAGCUGCGGCAGCGACGCUUAUGCGUUGUUGGGUAGGGGAGCGUUCUGUAAGCCUGUGAAGGUGUGCUGUGAGGCAUGCUGGAGGUAUCAGAAGUGCGAAUGCUGACAUAAGUAACGAUAAAGCGGGUGAAAAGCCCGCUCGCCGGAAGACCAAGGGUUCCUGUCCAACGUUAAUCGGGGCAGGGUGAGUCGACCCCUAAGGCGAGGCCGAAAGGCGUAGUCGAUGGGAAACAGGUUAAUAUUCCUGUACUUGGUGUUACUGCGAAGGGGGGACGGAGAAGGCUAUGUUGGCCGGGCGACGGUUGUCCCGGUUUAAGCGUGUAGGCUGGUUUUCCAGGCAAAUCCGGAAAAUCAAGGCUGAGGCGUGAUGACGAGGCACUACGGUGCUGAAGCAACAAAUGCCCUGCUUCCAGGAAAAGCCUCUAAGCAUCAGGUAACAUCAAAUCGUACCCCAAACCGACACAGGUGGUCAGGUAGAGAAUACCAAGGCGCUUGAGAGAACUCGGGUGAAGGAACUAGGCAAAAUGGUGCCGUAACUUCGGGAGAAGGCACGCUGAUAUGUAGGUGAGGUCCCUCGCGGAUGGAGCUGAAAUCAGUCGAAGAUACCAGCUGGCUGCAACUGUUUAUUAAAAACACAGCACUGUGCAAACACGAAAGUGGACGUAUACGGUGUGACGCCUGCCCGGUGCCGGAAGGUUAAUUGAUGGGGUUAGCGGUAACGCGAAGCUCUUGAUCGAAGCCCCGGUAAACGGCGGCCGUAACUAUAACGGUCCUAAGGUAGCGAAAUUCCUUGUCGGGUAAGUUCCGACCUGCACGAAUGGCGUAAUGAUGGCCAGGCUGUCUCCACCCGAGACUCAGUGAAAUUGAACUCGCUGUGAAGAUGCAGUGUACCCGCGGCAAGACGGAAAGACCCCGUGAACCUUUACUAUAGCUUGACACUGAACAUUGAGCCUUGAUGUGUAGGAUAGGUGGGAGGCUUUGAAGUGUGGACGCCAGUCUGCAUGGAGCCGACCUUGAAAUACCACCCUUUAAUGUUUGAUGUUCUAACGUUGACCCGUAAUCCGGGUUGCGGACAGUGUCUGGUGGGUAGUUUGACUGGGGCGGUCUCCUCCUAAAGAGUAACGGAGGAGCACGAAGGUUGGCUAAUCCUGGUCGGACAUCAGGAGGUUAGUGCAAUGGCAUAAGCCAGCUUGACUGCGAGCGUGACGGCGCGAGCAGGUGCGAAAGCAGGUCAUAGUGAUCCGGUGGUUCUGAAUGGAAGGGCCAUCGCUCAACGGAUAAAAGGUACUCCGGGGAUAACAGGCUGAUACCGCCCAAGAGUUCAUAUCGACGGCGGUGUUUGGCACCUCGAUGUCGGCUCAUCACAUCCUGGGGCUGAAGUAGGUCCCAAGGGUAUGGCUGUUCGCCAUUUAAAGUGGUACGCGAGCUGGGUUUAGAACGUCGUGAGACAGUUCGGUCCCUAUCUGCCGUGGGCGCUGGAGAACUGAGGGGGGCUGCUCCUAGUACGAGAGGACCGGAGUGGACGCAUCACUGGUGUUCGGGUUGUCAUGCCAAUGGCACUGCCCGGUAGCUAAAUGCGGAAGAGAUAAGUGCUGAAAGCAUCUAAGCACGAAACUUGCCCCGAGAUGAGUUCUCCCUGACUCCUUGAG